GCUGGGCGCGGUGGCGCAUGCCUGUAAUCCCAGCUACUUGGGAGGCUGAGGCAGGAGAAUGGCUUGCACCCAGGAGGCGGAGGUUGCUGUGAGCUGAGAUUGCACCAUUGCACUCCAGCCUGGGUGACAGAGCAAGACUCUGUCUCAA
Macaca mulatta (Rhesus monkey) is the source of this 148-nucleotide unclassified non-coding RNA. It matches the Rfam family "Metazoan signal recognition particle RNA". Rfam says of the family: The signal recognition particle (SRP) is a universally conserved ribonucleoprotein. It is involved in the co-translational targeting of proteins to membranes. The record is from Ensembl. NCBI's taxonomy places the organism in Eukaryota, Metazoa, Chordata, Mammalia, Primates, Cercopithecidae.